This 468-nucleotide ribosomal RNA is filed under the name uncultured bacterium. RNAcentral describes it as "partial 16S ribosomal RNA". It matches the Rfam family "Bacterial small subunit ribosomal RNA", at positions 28 to 507 of the family's 1533-position model. The record is from RNAcentral.
GAUGAACGCUGGCGGCGUGCUUAACACAUGCAAGUCGAACGGAAAGUCCCUGCUUUUGUGGGGUGCUCGAGUGGCGAACGGGUGAGUUACACGUGAGUAACCCGCCCUUGACUUUGGGAUACCUUCAGGAAACUCGGGCUAAUACCGGAUAGCAGCUCCCGCUGCACGGUGGGGGUUGGACAGUUACGGCGGUUGGGGAUGGUCUCCCGGCUGUUCAGCUUGUCGGUGGGGGAGUGGCCUACCAAGGCUUUGUCGGGUAGCCGGCCUGAGCGGGUGACCGGCCCCAGUAGGACUGAGGUACGGCCCGGACUCCUACGGGGGGCAGCGGUGGGAGAUAUUGCACAAUGGGCGGAAGCAUAAUGCAGCAACGCCGCGUGCGGGAUGGCGGCCUAGGGGUUGUAACCCGCUUUCGCCUGGGACGAAGCGUGAGUGACGGUAAUGGGUAAAAAAGCACCGGCUAACUACGUG